This is a long non-coding RNA of Cryptomeria japonica (Japanese cedar), 693 nucleotides long. RefSeq lists it as uncharacterized. Lineage: Eukaryota; Viridiplantae; Streptophyta; Pinopsida; Cupressales; Cupressaceae. The record is from RefSeq and is a predicted model, not a curated record. The transcript is spliced from 5 exons.
AUGAGGAUGUGCCAGAGGCAACUACUAUUGAUAACAUACCAUCAUUUCCUGGAUCUUCUUGUAUUGCUAGUACGGGAACGUUGCAGGCCACAUUGGUUUUGAGCAAUGAAGAAAUACUUCCCUUAAAGAUACAAAAGGUUCCAGGCAAUGAUACCUUCUAUAAACAUCUUAGUGACAUUGCAUUGCGGAUAUUUGGGCCCACCAUACUUAAAAGGUGGAAUGACCAAGAAAAAAGGUUAAAAGAUGAAUUGACAAACCAAAUGGUUGAGUGGUUUGGAAAUGACACCUUUGACAAAAGCAAGCUCCUUGAAAAAGUUGGCACAUAUCUAAAGUAUGUGAGGGACCAAUACAGGACCCAUUUGGAGAGGAACCUAAAGUAUGAGCAUCCCCCCAUGAUUCCAGAGAGGGAUUGGAAGGACUUGAUUUUGGAUGCCAAGGAGAGAAUUGAAAGGAAAAAAGGAAAUACACCACUAGACACCAGAAGAAGACUCAGUCACACGUCAAAGGUAACCAAGACAAGGCAAGAAAAGCACGGGUAACACAAACUCGGCUUUGGUGGUUACAUGAAACUUGCUGCACGAAUCGGCUUUGAAUUCAAUAGAGCACCCAUAGAAGAUGACAAGAGAAUUGCCUAUUAGCAAGUCUAUUCAGCCAUGGCUGAUCGGCUAUGAGAAUUGAAUGGGCAUACACAAC